GCGGGGGACACGAGGGUACACGGUGCGUGGAAGGAUGUGGGAUGGCCGGGGGAGGUGGAGCAUGGGAUGGGGGACAGCGGGAAGGGGACACGGGGCAGCAGGAGGGGCAGCACAUGGGACAUGAUGGAGUGCGUAGUACGUGUGGCACAGGACAUCAGGGAUGGCAGCAUGUAGGACACAGGACAUCAUGCAGGGUAUAGCACACGUGACAGGGGACACCAGGGAUAGGACACAGGACAUCAGGGAGCAUACAGCACAUGUGACAGGGGACAUCAGGGACGGGACACAGGACAUCACGGAGUAUAUAGCACACGUGACAGGGGACAUGAGGGAUAGGACACAGGACAUCAGGGAGCAUACAGCACAUGUGACACAGGACACCAGGGAGCAUACAGCACACGGGACACGGGACACCAGGGACAGGACACAGGACAUCAUGGAGCAUAUAGCACAUGUGACACAGGACAUCAGGGAUGGGACACAGGACAUCAGGGAGCAUAUAGCACAUGUGACACGGGACAUCAGGGACGGGACACAGGACAUCACGGAGCAUAUAGCACAUGUGACACGGGACAUCACAGAGCAUAUAGCACAUAUGACAUGGGACAUCAGUGAUAGGACACAGGACAUCAGGGAGCAUAUAGCACAUGUGACAGGGGACAUCAGUGAUGGGUCAGAGGACAUCACGGAGUAUAUAGCACAUGUGACACGGGACACCAGGGAUGGGACACAGGACAUCAGGGAGCAUAUAGCACAUGUGACACGGGACACCAGGGAUGGCAGCAUAUGGGACACAGGACAUCACGGAGUGUAUCGCACAUGUGACACGGGACAUCAGGGAUGGGACACAGGGCAUCACAGAGCAUAUAGCACAUGUGACACAGGACACCAGGGAUGGCAGCAUGUGGGACACAGGACAUCACGGAGUGUAUCGCACAUGGGACAAGUGACACAGGGACGGGACACAGGACACCACGUAGGGUAUAGCACACAGGACAUCAGGGAAGGCAGCGUGUGCGACACCACACAGCUGGCACACGGUACGUGCAGCACCAGGCACCCACAGGACCAGGUGGGCCAGCACUCAGGACAUGGGGCUCUGGGGAUAGCGGCACAUGGGACAGGACAUACGGGACACCAGACAUGA
This 1147-nucleotide long non-coding RNA is filed under the name Anser cygnoides (Swan goose). RNAcentral describes it as "lncRNA (ENSACDG00005008298.1)". Lineage: Eukaryota; Metazoa; Chordata; Aves; Anseriformes; Anatidae. The record is from RNAcentral.